CAGCCGCCGCGGUAAAACGUAGGUCCCGAGCGUUGUCCGGAUUUAUUGGGCGUAAAGCGAGCGCAGGCGGUUGGAUAAGUCUGAAGUUAAAGGCUGUGGCUUAACCAUAGUACGCUUUGGAAACUGUUUAACUUGAGUGCAAGAGGGGAGAGUGGAAUUCCAUGUGUAGCGGUGAAAUGCGUAGAUAUAUGGAGGAACACCGGUGGCGAAAGCGGCUCUCUGGCUUGUAACUGACGCUGAGGCUCGAAAGCGUGGGGAGCAAACAGGAUUAGAUACCCGCGUAGUCCCUGUCUCUUAUCAC
This 301-nucleotide ribosomal RNA is filed under the name uncultured bacterium. Its description in RNAcentral is "partial 16S ribosomal RNA". It matches the Rfam family "Bacterial small subunit ribosomal RNA", at positions 509 to 810 of the family's 1533-position model. The record is from RNAcentral.